AAAAUAAAUUACUUUGGGCAAAUAAAACCUUUGAUAGUGGUAGAUGUCAUGGAAAAAGAGAACAGUGUGAAUUUCCCUUUUGUACCAAGCGGUACUAAAAAAAUGAAAAAGUUCAUGACACUGCAACUAUUACUGUGCAGACCCACAUUGUUACAUAUAUAUAUAUACAAUUUUUAGAUAUAUCAUUGACAAAUUGACUCUAUGGUCAUCAUGACUAAGAACAAAAGGCAAAAGGGUCUAGGCCAACAACUGUCAUUAUUAUUAGCUAUAAACGUGGCUGAAUGGAGCUGAGCUACCCAGCAAAUAACGAAACAGGCCCUCCUUUGCUAACCCGACCACCCCCCUCUCCUCCCUCUGCACAACUUUCUUCUGUUUCUGCAAAUAAUGUGGUGGACACACAAGCACACACACACACACAACUUCUUCAACUGCACAACUUUCUUCUGUUUCUGCAAAUAAUGUGGUGGACACACAAGCACACACAACUUCUUCAACUGACCAAUAAAAAAGAUCAGGAACUAAAGAAUGGCCACGAAGUUUCCCCUUCAAGACGAGCUGCACCUACAGGCUUUCUUCAAAAGGCUGUUUACCCACCCUUGCAUCCCUCAUCCAGCCCCUGGCCUACCACAGGCAGUGAGUGCAGCAAAUCGCACAAAAACAGAAGCUAUCGCAGAACAGAAUCAACAAUUAUGGGCCAAUCAAAUCUCUGGGGAGCAGGCCCCUACAUGGAUCCAUGAUUUCACUGGACCCAAACCAGCAGAGAGGAUUAAUGUGGGAGGAGGGAGAGCUGAGAGAGAGAGAGAGAGAGAGAGAGAAGGUGUAAACCCUUGAACCAUGUCCAGUCUGCAGUCUGCUCUGGGUGAGUGACUAUCCUUUGUGAUGCCCCCCCACAGAUUUCCCAUAAUGCUCCAGGCCUACUGGCUCACCAAUUUACUACUGUAGGAGUGAUAUAAGGGAAACAGUACAGGUUAGAGCUGCAUUUAAAUUGAAUAGUAAUGUACAGCAUUAUUGUGUUGAUCACACAGUGUAAAAAUGGUCGGGCUGAAGUGUUCUUGAGUUGACUCAAAUUGACUUAGCUCUCUUUUUCAAUUACUUUAAUUUGUAUCUGCUGGGUAGGCCUCUGGCAGUCGGGCAGUUAGACAGUUGCACCUUUUUAAAGCUGUGUUGGAAAAAGGUAAAAAAGUGCAAUUAUUUAGAACUGUGUUUUCGUAUAGUGUAAUUUUAAAGCUGUAGG
RNAcentral lists this long non-coding RNA (1234 nucleotides) under Astyanax mexicanus (Mexican tetra). RNAcentral describes it as "lncRNA (ENSAMXG00005018765.1)". The record is from RNAcentral. Lineage: Eukaryota; Metazoa; Chordata; Actinopteri; Characiformes; Acestrorhamphidae.